AUGUUCUCUACAUCUCUACUGCUCCUCCUGGCAGCUGCAUCCUAUCAUCACAGCCGUGAUAUUAUUCGCGGUAACACACGACCUCGAGUGCUUUUAUACAACAGUCAGUUGAAGCCUCCUGGAGGAUCAGUGAGGUUGUCCUGUGAGGUUUCUGGUUAUCAUCUCACUAACUACAGUACAGGCUGGAUCAGAGAGCCUCCAGGGAAAGCCUUGGAGUGGAUCGGGAUCAUUUGGGGUGGUGGAUCUAUAGACUCUGGAGCUUCCUUUAAGAGUCGCUUCAAAAUUUCCAGAGACACAAGCAGUAACGUGCUGUUCUUAGACAUCAGCAGCCUGGAGACUGGAGACACGGCUGUUUAUUACUGUUCAUAG
Non-coding RNA from Colossoma macropomum (tambaqui), 369 nucleotides. NCBI's taxonomy places the organism in Eukaryota, Metazoa, Chordata, Actinopteri, Characiformes, Serrasalmidae. The record is from the annotation of a RefSeq genome assembly.